CACACACAGCACCCCUCACACACAACACCCCUCAGACACACACACAGCAUUCCACACCCUUACACACAAACACAUACACUGCACCCCUCAAUGCAGUAUGUGUGUGUGUAUUCAGCAGUCUGUAUGUGUGUGUAUUCAGCAGUCUGUGUGUGUGUAUGUAUUCAGCAGACUGUGUGUGUGUACUCAGCAGUGUGUAUAUGCAGCAGACUGUGUGUAUGUACUCAGCAGUCUUUGUGGGUGUAUUCAGCAGUCUGUGUGGGUGUAUUCAGCAGUGUAUGUAUUCAGCAGUCUGUGUGUGUGUAUUCAGCAGUCUGUGUGUGUAUUCAGCAGUCUGUCUGUGUGUGUAUUUAGCAGUGUAUGUAUUCAGCAGUCUACGUGUGUGUAUGUAUUCGGCAGUCUGUGUGUGUGUAUUCAGCAGUGUAUGUAUUCAGCAGUCUGUAUGUGUGUAUUUAGCAGUCUGUCUGUGUAUGUAUACAGCAGUGUAUCU
This is a non-coding RNA of Pelobates cultripes (western spadefoot toad), 487 nucleotides long. The record is from the annotation of a GenBank genome assembly. NCBI's taxonomy places the organism in Eukaryota, Metazoa, Chordata, Amphibia, Anura, Pelobatidae.